Molecule: ribosomal RNA, 374 nt
Filed under: uncultured organism
Description: partial 16S ribosomal RNA
Rfam family: Bacterial small subunit ribosomal RNA
Source: RNAcentral
GUAGGUGGCAAGCGUUGUCCGGAAUUAUUGGGCGUAAAGCGCGCGCAGGUGGUUCUUUAAGUCUGAUGUGAAAGCCCCCGGCUCAACCGGGGAGGGUCAUUGGAAACUGGGGAACUUGAGUGCAGGAGAGGAAAGUGGAAUUCCACGUGUAGCGGUGAAAUGCGUAGAUAUGUGGAGGAACACCAGUGGCGAAGGCGACUUUCUGGCCUGUAACUGACACUGAGGCGCGAAAGCGUGGGGAGCAAACAGGGAUUAGAUACCCUGGUAGUCCACGCCGUAAACGAUGAGUGCUAAGUGUUGGGGGGGUUUCCCGCCCCUCAGUGCCCGCAGCCAACGCAUUAAGCACUCCGCCUGGGGAUACGGUCGCAAGACUG